GGGCGUGUUUAUGGAUUCGACACACGCUUGACGAGCUUACUCAAGCAUAACGGAUUACCGCGUUAUAGGUUAAACUUAAAUUUAAAUGCAGAAGACAAUUCUGUUCUUGCUUACGCUGCGUAAGAACUCGCAGGAAGCAUGUCUUGGCUAAUUUCGUUGCCGAUUAGAUUCGAGGCAUCAACUUAGACAACGGACUACCCUAUCAUCAACAUGUGAGUGAUAUCGUAGUCUACUAUCACAUGUAAAACAUUAGAAUUUUUGUUAUUGGUUAUAUAAUGUUUUUAUUUUCAAAAAAUAACUAAUUAUGUAGAAAGGUAAGAGCGGAGCGUGCGGACGCGGGUUCAACUCCCGCCACGUCCACCA
This 363-nucleotide transfer-messenger RNA is filed under the name Clostridiales bacterium. It matches the Rfam family "transfer-messenger RNA". Rfam says of the family: Bacterial tmRNA, also known as 10Sa RNA or SsrA, is named for its dual tRNA and mRNA-like properties. RNAcentral also lists the same sequence under 1 other name. Lineage: Bacteria; Bacillati; Bacillota; Clostridia; Eubacteriales. The record is from RNAcentral.